CACGUAGGGCGCAAGCGUUGUCCGGAAUUAUUGGGCGUAAAGAGCUCGUAGGCGGUCUGUUGCGUCCGCUGUGAAAACCCGGGGCUUAACCCCUGGCUUGCAGUGGAUACGGACAGACUAGAGUGCGGUAGGGGUGACUGGAAUUCCUGGUGUAGCGGUGGAAUGCGCAGAUAUCAGGAGGAACACCGAUGGCGAAGGCAGGUCACUGGGCCGCAACUGACGCUGAGGAGCGAAAGCAUGGGGAGCGAACAGG
This 253-nucleotide ribosomal RNA is filed under the name uncultured bacterium. Its description in RNAcentral is "partial 16S ribosomal RNA". It matches the Rfam family "Bacterial small subunit ribosomal RNA", at positions 524 to 776 of the family's 1533-position model. The record is from RNAcentral.